UGGGGGAUAUUGCACAAUGGGGGAAACCCUGAUGCAGCGACGCCGCGUGGGUGAAGGAGCACUUCGGUGCGUAAAGCCCUAUCGGCAGGGAAGAAAAGGGGGAAACCCCAGACGGUACCUGACUAAGAAGCCCCGGCUAACUACGUGCC
This 149-nucleotide ribosomal RNA is filed under the name uncultured bacterium. RNAcentral describes it as "partial 16S ribosomal RNA". It matches the Rfam family "Bacterial small subunit ribosomal RNA", at positions 355 to 509 of the family's 1533-position model. The record is from RNAcentral.